RNAcentral lists this ribosomal RNA (468 nucleotides) under uncultured bacterium. Its description in RNAcentral is "partial 16S ribosomal RNA". It matches the Rfam family "Bacterial small subunit ribosomal RNA", at positions 28 to 507 of the family's 1533-position model. The record is from RNAcentral.
GACGAACGCUGGCGGCGUGCUUAACACAUGCAAGUCGAACGGAAAGGCCCUGCUUUUGUGGGGUGCUCGAGUGGCGAACGGGUGAGUAACACGUGAGUAACAUGCACUUGACUUUGGGAUAACUUCAGGAAACUGGGGCUAAUACCGGAUAGGAGCUCCUGCUGCAUGGUGGGGGUUGGAAAGAUUCGGCGGUUGGGGAUGGACUCGCGGCUUAUCAGCUUGUUGGUGGGGUAGUGGCUUAACAAGUCUUUGACGGGUAGCCGGCCUUAGAGGCUGACCGGCCACAUUGGUACUGAGAUACGGCGCAGACGCCUACGGGAGGCAGCAGUGGGGAAUAUUGCACAAUGGGCGGAAGCCUGAUGCAGCAACGCCGCGUGCGGGAUGACGGCCUUCGGGUUGUAAACCGCUUUCGCCUGUGACGAAGCGUGAGUGACGGUAAUGGGUAAAGAAGCACCGGCUAACUACGUG